AUGCUGCAAUGGGAGUCCAGCGAUGCUGGAACCAGUAGCCAUGGUUGCUACAACCAGCAGCUGCCGGAGGUGAAGACGGGGGAUCCGGUGCUGCAACCGGAGAUAGUUUUUGCUGGAACUACAUGGCAAAAAAGCUACAACCACCAUGGACCGACGCUGGAACCAGAUGGUGUCGAAAUCAUUUUGCUGGGACCGGCAAAAAUAAUUGCUGGAACCGGCAAGAAUUUUUGCUACUACCGGGGGCAACUGCUACGACCGGCGACUGGUGGUGCUCUUUUUGCUGGAAUCGGCGGCGCUAAUUGCUGGAACCAGCUUCUUCGGGAGCUUCAAUGA
Molecule: ribosomal RNA, 333 nt
Filed under: Triticum aestivum (bread wheat)
Lineage: Eukaryota; Viridiplantae; Streptophyta; Magnoliopsida; Poales; Poaceae
Description: partial small subunit ribosomal RNA
Source: RNAcentral